GACGAACGCUGGCGGCGUGCUUAACACAUGCAAGUCGAACGGAAAGGCCCUGCUUUUGUGGGGUGCUCGAGUGGCGAACGGGUGAGUAACACGUGAGUAACCUGCCCUUGACUUUGGGAUAACUUCAGGAAACGGGGGCUAAUACCGGAUAGGAGCUCCUGCGGCAUGGUGGGGGUUGGAAAGUUUCGGCGGUUGGGGAUGGGCUCGCGGCUUAUCAGCUUGUUGGUGGGGUAGUGGCUUACCAAGGCGUUGACGGGUAGCCGGCCUGAGAGGGUGACCGGCCACAUUGGGACUGAGAUACGGCCCAGACUCCUACGGGAGGCAGCAGUGGGGAAUAUUGCACAAUGGGCGGAAGCCUGAUGCAGCAACGCCGCGUGCGGGAUGACGGCCUUCGGGUUGUAAACCGCUUUCGCCUGUGACGAAGCGUGAGUGACGGUAAUGGGUAAAGAAGCACCGGCUAACUACGUG
Molecule: ribosomal RNA, 468 nt
Filed under: uncultured bacterium
Lineage: Bacteria
Description: partial 16S ribosomal RNA
Rfam family: Bacterial small subunit ribosomal RNA
Source: RNAcentral